This 72-nucleotide transfer RNA is filed under the name Marmota monax (woodchuck). RNAcentral describes it as "tRNA.Val". It matches the Rfam family "tRNA". From Rfam's summary of the family: Transfer RNA (tRNA) molecules are approximately 80 nucleotides in length. Lineage: Eukaryota; Metazoa; Chordata; Mammalia; Rodentia; Sciuridae. The record is from RNAcentral.
GGUGUUGUGGCUCAGUGGUAAAGUACUCUCCUAACAUGUGGGAGGCACUGGGUUCAAUCCUCAGCACCACAU